UGAGAACUUGUGAAAGUUAAUGGUUAACUGUUGGUGGUUGAAAAUUAGCUGGGAGUUCUUUGUUGACUUGUAUGUAGGCUGCAACAUAGUAUAGAGGACUGAACUGAUAUGCUGAUUUUUAUUUCAAAAUUGGUUAUGCAGGGUUUAUGUGACUGGACCGAGGUCGAAUACUGCUGGAAAUUGAUGAUUAUUACUCGGGGAAACAACAGGAAACAGGGUGGUACUGAAACUGAAUGCAGGGAUGAUUUGUGAGCUUGAAUGAUUAGAAAUGUGUAGGUUGCCGUCAUAAUUGUUAACUGUCAAAUGAACCGAACUGCCUAGCAUAGCAGGGACUGUUUUUUGGCUUUAUGAAUGACAUGGGAAAGACUUUGGGAUGAAUAACUCAAGAUGGAAUCAUGGAGAUCCUUAUAGUAAAGCAAAAGGCGGAGUCAGGGUGAAGCUGAAUGAAGACAUAGAAAACUA
Long non-coding RNA from Vicia villosa (hairy vetch), 462 nucleotides. RefSeq lists it as uncharacterized. Lineage: Eukaryota; Viridiplantae; Streptophyta; Magnoliopsida; Fabales; Fabaceae. The record is from RefSeq and is a predicted model, not a curated record. The transcript has 3 exons.